UGAGGUAUUAGUAAAACAUUACAUAACUUUGUCAAAGUUAAGUUACAAGUGAAAACCUUGUAUAUCUCU
This 69-nucleotide transfer RNA is filed under the name Sorex gracillimus (slender shrew). RNAcentral describes it as "tRNA-Asp". The record is from RNAcentral. Lineage: Eukaryota; Metazoa; Chordata; Mammalia; Eulipotyphla; Soricidae.